This 495-nucleotide ribosomal RNA is filed under the name uncultured bacterium. Its description in RNAcentral is "bacterial SSU rRNA". It matches the Rfam family "Bacterial small subunit ribosomal RNA", at positions 899 to 1397 of the family's 1533-position model. The record is from RNAcentral.
ACUCAAAUGAAUUGACGGGGGCCCGCACAAGCAGUGGAGUAUGUGGUUUAAUUCGAAGCAACGCGAAGAACCUUACCAGGGCUUGACAUGCAGGUGAAUAAUGUAGAGAUACAUUAGGCCUUCGGGACACCUGUGCAGGUGGUGCAUGGUUGUCGUCAGCUCGUGUCGUGAGAUGUUGGGUUAAGUCCCGCAACGAGCGCAACCCCUGUUGUUAGUUGCCAUCAUUAAGUUGGGCACUCUAACGAGACUGCCGGUGACAAAUCGGAGGAAGGUGGGGACGACGUCAAAUCAUCAUGCCCCUUAUGUCCUGGGCUACACACGUACUACAAUGGCUAUAACAGCAGGGAGCUAAGGAGUAAUCCGGAGCAAAUCCUCAAAAAUAGUCCCAGUUCGAAUUGUGGGCUGAAACUCGCCCACAUGAAGUCGGAAUUGCUAGUAAUGGCAGGUCAGCAUACUGCCGUGAAUACGUUCCCGGGCCUUGUACACACCGCCCGU